This 241-nucleotide unclassified non-coding RNA is filed under the name uncultured Ascomycota. RNAcentral describes it as "sequence contains 5.8S rRNA gene, ITS2, 28S rRNA gene". Lineage: Eukaryota; Fungi; Ascomycota. The record is from RNAcentral.
AACGCACAUUGCGCCCGUCAGUAUUCUGGCGGGCAUGCCUGUUCGAGCGUCAUUUCAACCAUCAAGCCUCAGGCUUGUGUUGGGGCCCUGCGGCUGCCGUAGUCCCCUAAAAGCAGUGGCGGACUCGCUGUCAUACCGAGCGCAGUAACACAUCUCGCUCUGGGCGUGGCGGCGGGCACCAGCCGUUAAACACUCCACUAAGGUUGACCUCGGAUCAGGUAGGAAUACCCGCUGAACUUAA